UACGUAGGUGGCAAGAGUUAUCCGGAUUUAUUGGGCGUAAAGGGAACGCAGGCGGUCUUUUAAGUCUGAUGUGAAAGCCUUCGGCUUAACCGGAGUAGUGCAUUGGAAACUGGGAGACUUGAGUGCAGAAGAGGAGAGUGGAACUCCAUGUGUAGCGGUGAAAUGCGUAGAUAUAUGGAAGAACACCAGUGGCGAAAGCGGCUCUCUGGUCUGUAACUGACGCUGAGGUUCGAAAGCGUGGGUAGCAAACAGG
Molecule: ribosomal RNA, 253 nt
Filed under: uncultured bacterium
Lineage: Bacteria
Description: partial 16S ribosomal RNA
Rfam family: Bacterial small subunit ribosomal RNA
Source: RNAcentral